RNAcentral lists this ribosomal RNA (333 nucleotides) under uncultured Glomeromycotina. RNAcentral describes it as "eukaryotic LSU rRNA". The record is from RNAcentral. Lineage: Eukaryota; Fungi; Glomeromycota.
UAUCACUCAGCGCUACAUAGUGGAAAUUUACCCGAUGGCGAGUGUCAAAACCGCCAUCCUGUAAAUUUCAGCUAUGCUAGCGUGUACUUUGUUGUCUGCUGGUUAGCAUCAAUUUUGAUUGUCAUAAAAAGGUUAAGGGGAUGUGGCUCCUUCGGGAGUGUUAUAACCCUUAGCGGAAUGUGGCGAUCGGGAUUGAGGUUUGCAACGAAUACCUUUAGGGCAGUUCCGUCUGGUCUCUUGUUGACGUUCAGAUAGCAACAGCUUGCUUUUGUUGUUUGAAUUAGUUAGCAAAUAGAUUAGAAUGUGAAUUAAUUCGUUAAGGAUGCUGACGUA